This 449-nucleotide ribosomal RNA is filed under the name uncultured bacterium. Its description in RNAcentral is "partial 16S ribosomal RNA". It matches the Rfam family "Bacterial small subunit ribosomal RNA", at positions 29 to 523 of the family's 1533-position model. The record is from RNAcentral.
AACGAGCGCUGGCGGCAUGCCUAACACAUGCAAGUCGAACGAGAUCUUCGGGUCUAGUGGCGCACGGGUGCGUAACGCGUGGGAAUCUGCCCUUUGGUUCGGAAUAACAGUUGGAAACGACUGCUAAUACCGGAUGAUGACGAAAGUCCAAAGAUUUAUCGCCAGAGGAUGAGCCCGCGUAGGAUUAGCUAGUUGGUGUGGUAAAGGCGCACCAAGGCGACGAUCCUUAGCUGGUCUGAGAGGAUGAUCAGCCACACUGGGACUGAGACACGGCCCAAACGCCUACGGGAGGCAGCAGUGGGGAAUAUUGGACAAUGGGCGAAAGCCUGAUCCAGCAAUGCCGCGUGAGUGAUGAAGGCCUUAGGGUUGUAAAGCUCUUUUACCCGGGAUGAUAAUGACAGUACCGGGAGAAUAAGCUCCGGCUAACUCCGUGCCAGCCGCCGCAGUAA